This 396-nucleotide ribosomal RNA is filed under the name Triticum aestivum (bread wheat). RNAcentral's name for it is "partial small subunit ribosomal RNA". Lineage: Eukaryota; Viridiplantae; Streptophyta; Magnoliopsida; Poales; Poaceae. The record is from RNAcentral.
AUGGCACACAAUAAAUCACCAGGCCCAGAUGGUUUUACUGCUGAAUUCUAUCAACAUUUUUGGGACCUGGUGAAAGAUAUCAAAGAACUCUUUGACGAUUUUCAUAAAUGGCAACUAGAUAUUGUUCGACUUAACUAUGGUAUUAUUACUUUAGUGCCUAAGACUAAGGAAGCUAACCAAACACAAAAAUUCAGACCAAUGUGUUUACUGAAUGUUAUAUUCAAAAUCUUUACAAAAGUCCUAAUGAAUAGGCUAAAUGGUGUUGCAGGUGAAGUUAUUUCACCCAUACAAACUGUUUUUGUGAAAGGAAGAUAUAUUAUGGAGGGAGUCCUUAUCUUUUUUUACUAUGUAAUGCAAGGCAACAACCUCACAACUCUUUGUUAUAACUCAAAAUAA